GCUUAACACAUGCAAGUCGAGGGGCAGCACAGUGCAGCAAUGCACGGGUGGCGACCGGCGCACGGGUGCGUAACGCGUAUCCAACCUUCCCGUUACUCAUGGAUAGCCUUCCGAAAGGGAGAUUAAUACAUGAUGGUGUUGAAAUUCCGCAUGUUAUUUCAACUAAAGAUUUAUCGGUAACGGAUGGGGAUGCGUGACAUUAGGUAGAUGGCGGGGUAACGGCCCACCAUGCCUACGAUGUCUAGGGGUUCUGAGAGGAAGGUCCCCCACACUGGAACUGAGACACGGUCCAGACUCCUACGGGAGGCAGCAGUGAGGAAUAUUGGUCAAUGGUCGGAAGACUGAACCAGCCAAGUAGCGUGAAGGAUGAAGGUUCUAUGGAUUGUAAACUUCUUUUAUACGGGAAUAAAACCACCUACGUGUAGGUGCUUGUAUGUACCGUAUGAAUAAGCAUCGGCUAACUCCGUGCCAGCAGCCGCGGUAAUACGGAGGAUGCGAGCGUUAUCCGGAUUUAUUGGGUUUAAAGGGAGCGUAGACGGGAUGUUAAGUCAGCUGUGAAAGUUUGGGGCUCAACCUUAAAAUUGCAGUUGAUACUGGCGUCCUUGAGUGCGGUUGAGGUAUGUGGAAUUCGUGGUGUAGCGGUGAAAUGCUUAGAUAUCACGAA
RNAcentral lists this ribosomal RNA (664 nucleotides) under uncultured Bacteroidota bacterium. RNAcentral describes it as "bacterial SSU rRNA". It matches the Rfam family "Bacterial small subunit ribosomal RNA", at positions 46 to 703 of the family's 1533-position model. The record is from RNAcentral. Lineage: Bacteria; Pseudomonadati; Bacteroidota.